CAUACGGCUCAGUAACACGUGGCUAACCUACCCUCAGGACGGGGACAACCCCGGGAAACUGGGGCUAAUACCCGAUAGGUGAGGAUGCCUGGAAUGGUUUCUCACCCAAAGGGCACGGAAACAUGCUUUCGUUGUCGCCUGGGGAUGGGGCCGCGUCCGAUCAGGUUGUUGGUGAGGUAAUGGCUCACCAAGCCUUUAACCGGUACGGGCCGUGAGAGCGGAAGCCCGGAGAUGGGUACUGAGACAAGGACCCAGGCCCUACGGGGCGCAGCAGUCGCGAAAACUCCGCAAUGCACGAAAGUGUGACGGGGCUACCCCGAGUGCCAUCCGCUGAGGAUGGCUUUUCUUUGGUUUAAUUCGCCAGGGGAAUAAGGAGAGGGCAAGACUGGUGUCAGCCGCCGCGGUAAUACCAGCUCUCCGAGUGGUAGGGAUGUUUAUUGGGCUUAAAGCGUCCGUAGCCGGCUUAGCAAGUUUCCUGUUAAAUUCAGCGACCUAAUCGUUGAGCCGCGGGAAAUACUACUAGGCUAGGAGGCGGGAGAGGUCGACGGUACUUCUGGGGUAGGGGUGAAAUCCUAUAAUCCCGGGAGGACCACCAGUGGCGAAGGCUGUCGACUAGAACGCGCUCGACGGUGAGGGACGAAAGCUGGGGGAGCGAACCGGAUUAGAUACCCGGGUAGUCCCAGCUGUAAACGAUGCGGGCUAGGUGUUGGAAUGGCUACGUGCCAUUUCAGUGCCGCAGGGAAGCCAUU
Molecule: ribosomal RNA, 749 nt
Filed under: uncultured crenarchaeote
Lineage: Archaea; Thermoproteati; Thermoproteota
Description: bacterial SSU rRNA
Rfam family: Archaeal small subunit ribosomal RNA
Source: RNAcentral